RNAcentral lists this ribosomal RNA (506 nucleotides) under uncultured bacterium. RNAcentral describes it as "bacterial SSU rRNA". It matches the Rfam family "Bacterial small subunit ribosomal RNA", at positions 107 to 598 of the family's 1533-position model. The record is from RNAcentral.
UGAGUAUCACGUGGGUAACCUGCCUGUAAGCUUGGGAUAACUUCGGGAAACCGGUGCUAAUACCAAAUAACAUUUCUGUUCGCAUGAACGGAAAAUAAAAGGCGGCUUUUGCUGUCACUUACAGAUGGACCCGCGUCGCAUUAGCUAGUUGGUGGGGUAAAGGCUUACCAAAGCAACGAUGCGUAGCCGACCUGAGAGGGUGAUCGGCCACACUGGGACUGAGACACGGCCCAGACUCCUACGGGAGGCAGCAGUAGGGAAUCUUCCGCAAUGGACGAAAGUCUGACGGAGCAACGCCGCGUGAGUGAUGAAGGUUUUCGGAUCGUAAAACUCUGUUGUUAGGGAAGAAUAAGUACUAACCGAAUAAGUUGGUACCCUGACGGUACCUAACCAGAAAGCCCCGGCUAACUACGUGCCAGCAGCCGCGGUAAUACGUAGGGGGCAAGCGUUGUCCGGAAUUAUUGGGCGUAAAGGGCGCGCAGGCGGUUUCUUAAGUCUGAUGUGAA